ACGAACCGUGCGAACGUUGUUCGGAAUCACUGGGCUUAAAGGGCGCGUAGGCGGGCACUCAAGUCGGUGGUGAAAGCCUCCGGCCUAACCGGAGAAGAGCUGUCGAUACUGGGUGUCUCGAGGGGUGUAGGGGUCUGUGGAACUUCGGGUGGAGCGGUGAAAUGCGUAGAGAUCCGAAGGAACGCCGGUGGCGAAAGCGACGGACUGGACACCUUCUGACGCUGAGGCGCGAAAGCCAGGGGAGCAAACGGGA
This 253-nucleotide ribosomal RNA is filed under the name uncultured prokaryote. RNAcentral describes it as "partial 16S ribosomal RNA". It matches the Rfam family "Bacterial small subunit ribosomal RNA", at positions 525 to 777 of the family's 1533-position model. The record is from RNAcentral.